AGUGAACGCUGGCGGUAGGCCUAACACAUGCAAGUCGAACGGCAGCACAGUAAGAGCUUGCUCUUACGGGUGUCGAGUGACGGACGGGUGAGGAAUACAUCGGAAUCUACUUUUUCGUGGGGGAUAACGUAGGGAAACUUACGCUAAUACCGCAUACGACCUACGGGUGAAAGCAGGGGAUCUUCGGACCUUGCGCGAUUGAAUGAGCCGAUGUCGGAUUAGCUAGUUGGCGGGGUAAAGGCCCACCAAGGCGACGAUCCGUAGCUGGUCUGAGAGGAUGAUCAGCCACACUGGAACUGAGACACGGUCCAGACUCCUACGGGAGGCAGCAGUGGGGAAUAUUGGACAAUGGGCGAAAGCCUGAUCCAGCCAUACCGCGUGGGUGAAGAAGGCCUUCGGGUUGUAAAGCCCUUUUGUUGGGAAAGAAAAGCAGCAGGUUAAUACCCCGCUGUUCUGACGGUACCCAAAGAAUAAGCACCGGCUAACUUCGUG
RNAcentral lists this ribosomal RNA (492 nucleotides) under uncultured bacterium. RNAcentral's name for it is "partial 16S ribosomal RNA". It matches the Rfam family "Bacterial small subunit ribosomal RNA", at positions 29 to 507 of the family's 1533-position model. The record is from RNAcentral.